This 484-nucleotide ribosomal RNA is filed under the name uncultured bacterium. RNAcentral describes it as "partial 16S ribosomal RNA". It matches the Rfam family "Bacterial small subunit ribosomal RNA", at positions 30 to 507 of the family's 1533-position model. The record is from RNAcentral.
AUUGAACGCUGGCGGCAGGCCUAACACAUGCAAGUCGAGCGGAUGAAGGGAGCUUGCUCCUGGAUUCAGCGGCGGACGGGUGAGUAAUGCCUAGGAAUCUGCCUGGUAGUGGGGGAUAACGUCCGGAAACGGGCGCUAAUACCGCAUACGUCCUGAGGGAGAAAGUGGGGGAUCUUCGGACCUCACGCUAUCAGAUGAGCCUAGGUCGGAUUAGCUAGUUGGUGGGGUAAAGGCCUACCAAGGCGACGAUCCGUAACUGGUCUGAGAGGAUGAUCAGUCACACUGGGACUGAGACACGGUCCAGACUCCUACGGGAGGCAGCAGUGGGGAAUAUUGGACAAUGGGCGAAAGCCUGAUCCAGCCAUGCCGCGUGUGUGAAGAAGGUCUUCGGAUUGUAAAGCACUUUAAGUUGGGAGGAAGGGCAGUAAGUUAAUACCUUGCUGUUUUGACGUUAUCAACAGAAUAAGCACCGGCUAACUUCGUG